This 444-nucleotide long non-coding RNA is filed under the name Setaria viridis. RNAcentral describes it as "long non-coding RNA (SVIR_LNC000122)". The record is from RNAcentral. Lineage: Eukaryota; Viridiplantae; Streptophyta; Magnoliopsida; Poales; Poaceae.
CGAAGCCUAUUGCAUCAAAGAUGUCAGAGUUUGUCUCUCCAGAAGAGCCUUGAGCUUUGCAUGUACUCUUGUAUUUGUGUCAAGUACUUUGAACAAUAUUUUGACAAAUGAAUGUUUGCCCAUUUUCUUGUUGCGUGAAGUUGUCAUGCGAAGAGUAGUUUUACUCUAUCUUGUCCGACCCAAAAUCCUGGGGUCGGCUGAGCCCGACCCUUUGGGGGGGAACUCCGCCUCGCCCGACCCUGAGUCUUGGGGUCGUCUAAGCCCGUCUGCUUCGCCCGACCUUGAGUCCUGGGGUCGGGUGCGCCCGACCCUUUUGAGGGUGGAAGCUCCGCCUCGCCCGACCCUAAGUCUUAGAGUUGGGUGUACCCAACCCCUGAGCAGGGGGUCAGAAUAUUCCAAGCCCCCGAGAUAAUGGUGUGAGCGUAGGCCGCGCUUAGCUUGGAG